This is a non-coding RNA of Pelobates cultripes (western spadefoot toad), 233 nucleotides long. Lineage: Eukaryota; Metazoa; Chordata; Amphibia; Anura; Pelobatidae. The record is from the annotation of a GenBank genome assembly.
UUCGUCACCGUUGGGUGAAGAUUCGGUCAGACAAUGCUGUGGUGGUAGCCUACAUAAACCUUCAGGGUGGCACCAGAAGCCGCAGGAUGAUGGUAUUUAUGCAUCAGUUGAUGUCAUGGUCUCAACGACACCUGGUAGGCCUCACAGCAAUUCAUCUUCCGGGGAAACAGAAUCAGAUCGCGGAUUUCCUCAGCAGAUCCAGAAUCGAUCCAGGAGAGUGGUCUUUGUCGGAC